UUGCCAUCUGCGUGAGCAGGGCUGCGUGUCAAGUCUAUGGACUCGACUCUUGCACAUCUACGUCUUAGGUUUGCGCCAAUUCGUGGUAAGCUUGGGUCAUAGAGACUCAUAGGUGUUAUAAAGACUCGCUGGUGUUUGUCUCCUUGAGGCAUACGGCUUUAACCAAAACUCUCAAAGUUUGACCUCAAAUCAGGUAGGAGUACCCGCUGAACUUAAGCAUAUCAAUAAGCCGGAGGAAAAGAAACCAACCGGGAUUGCCUUAGUAACGGCGAGUGAAGCGGCAAAAGCUCAAAUUUGAAAUCUGGCGUCUUCGACGUCCGAGUUGUAAUUUGAAGAAGGCGACUUUGUAGCUGGUCCUUGUCUAUGUUCCUUGGAACAGGACGUCAUAGAGGGUGAGAAUCCCGUGUGGCGAGGAUCCCAGUUAUUUGUAAAGUGCUUUCGACGAGUCGAGUUGUUUGGGAAUGCAGCUCUAAGUGGGUGGUAAAUUCCAUCUAAAGCUAAAUAUUGGCGAGAGACCGAUAGCGAACAAGUACAGUGAUGGAAAGAUGAAAAGAACUUUGAAAAGAGAGUGAAAAAGUACGUGAAAUUGUUGAAAGGGAAGGGCAUUUGAUCAGACAUGGCGUUUGCUUCGGCUUUCGCUGGGCCAGCAUCAGUUUUAGCGGUUGGAUAAAUCCUCGGGAAUGUGGCUCUGCUUCGGUAGAGUGUUAUAGCCCGUGGGAAUACAGCCAGCUGGGACUGAGGAUUGCGACUUUUGUCAAGGAUGCUGGCGUAAUGGUUAAAUGCCGCCCGUCUUGAAACACGGACCAAGGAGUCUAACGUCUAUGCGAGUGUUUGGGUGUAAAACCCGUACGCGUAAUGAAAGUGAACGUAGGUGAGGGCCCGCAAGGGUGCAUCAUCGACCGAUCCUGAUGUCUUCGGAUGGA
Molecule: ribosomal RNA, 923 nt
Filed under: Kluyveromyces marxianus
Lineage: Eukaryota; Fungi; Ascomycota; Saccharomycetes; Saccharomycetales; Saccharomycetaceae
Description: LSU rRNA
Rfam family: Eukaryotic large subunit ribosomal RNA (bases 180-923)
Source: RNAcentral